UUAGUGCAGUGGUUAGCACGAAGUGGAUGUCCUUGAAAAGGUUGAACGCGGGUUUAAUUCCCGCUCAA
This is a non-coding RNA of Parelaphostrongylus tenuis, 68 nucleotides long. Lineage: Eukaryota; Metazoa; Nematoda; Chromadorea; Rhabditida; Metastrongylidae. The record is from the annotation of a GenBank genome assembly.